GCGGGAAUGCCAGAGCGGUCAAAUGGGACGCGUUAAGGCCGCGUUGGCUUAGUGCCUGCGAAGGUUCAAAUCCUUCUUCCCGCA
Molecule: transfer RNA, 84 nt
Filed under: Candidatus Pacearchaeota archaeon
Lineage: Archaea; Nanobdellati
Description: tRNA-Leu
Rfam family: tRNA
About the family: Transfer RNA (tRNA) molecules are approximately 80 nucleotides in length. Their secondary structure includes four short double-helical elements and three loops (D, anti-codon, and T loops).
Source: RNAcentral